This 171-nucleotide long non-coding RNA is filed under the name Ictidomys tridecemlineatus (thirteen-lined ground squirrel). RNAcentral's name for it is "lncRNA (ENSSTOG00000033678.1)". The record is from RNAcentral. Lineage: Eukaryota; Metazoa; Chordata; Mammalia; Rodentia; Sciuridae.
UCUGUCCCUGGGUAACCAGAACGCAGGUUCAGCCUCCCUCAGCGACCAUCUGCAACAGCUCAGCAGAGGCAUCAGGGAGUUUGGCUGGACCCAAACCAGGGACUUCUCCCAGCGUUAUCUUGAAUGGACACUCAGCAACCCUCAUGGCUGGACAGAUGAAGAGACUGACGU